CCUACGGGAGGCAGCAGUGGGGAAUAUUGCGCAAUGGGCGAAAGCCUGACGCAGCGACGCCGCGUGCAGGAAGACGGCUCUAUGAGUUGUAAACUGCUUUUGUACAAGGGUAAACCUGAAUACGUGUAUUCAGCUGAAAGUACUGUACGAAUAAGGAUCGGCUAACUCCGUGCCAGCAGCCGCGGUAAUACGGAGGAUCCGAGCGUUAUCCGGAUUUAUUGGGUUUAAAGGGAGCGUAGAUGGGUUGUUAAGUCAGUUGUGAAAGUUUGCGGCUCAACCAUAAAAUUGCAAUUGAUACUGGCAGCCUUGAGUACAGUUGAGGUAGGCGGAAUUCGUGGUGUAGCGGUGAAAUGCUUAGAUAUCACGAAGAACUCCGAUUGCGAAGGCAGCCUACUAAACUGCCACUGACAUUGAUGCUCGAAAGUGUGGGUAUCAAACAGGAUUAGAUACCCUAGUAGUC
RNAcentral lists this ribosomal RNA (460 nucleotides) under uncultured bacterium. Its description in RNAcentral is "partial 16S ribosomal RNA". It matches the Rfam family "Bacterial small subunit ribosomal RNA", at positions 338 to 795 of the family's 1533-position model. The record is from RNAcentral.